Molecule: unclassified non-coding RNA, 348 nt
Filed under: soil metagenome
Description: partial contains 5.8S ribosomal RNA, internal transcribed spacer 2, and large subunit ribosomal RNA
Rfam family: 5.8S ribosomal RNA (bases 1-120)
Source: RNAcentral
GAUGAAGAACGUAGCGAAAUGCGAUAAGUAAUGUGAAUUGCAGAAUUCAGUGAAUCAUCGAGUCUUUGAACGCACAUUGCGCCCCCUGGUAUUCCGGGGGGCAUGCCUGUCCGAGCGUCAUUGCUGCCCUCAAGCACGGCUUGUGUGUUGGGCCCCCGUCCCCGGUUUCCCCCGGGGACGGGCCCGAAAGGCAGCGGCGGCACCGCGUCCGGUCCUCGAGCGUAUGGGGCUUUGUCACCCGCUCUGUAGGCCCGGACGGCGCCAGCCGACACCCAACUUUAUUUCUAAGGUUGACCUCGGAUCAGGUAGGGAUACCCGCUGAACUUAAGCAUAUCAAUAAGCGGAGGA